UUCGGCGAUCUUUAGAGAUAGAGGAGUGCCUUCGGGAACGCUGAGACAGGUGCUGCAUGGCUGUCGUCAGCUCGUGUUGUGAAAUGUUGGGUUAAGUCCCGCAACGAGCGCAACCCUUAUCCUUUGUUGCCAGCGCGUGAUGGCGGGAACUCAAAGGAGACUGCCGGUGAUAAACCGGAGGAAGGUGGGGAUGACGUCAAGUCAUCAUGGCCCUUACGAGUAGGGCUACACACGUGCUACAAUGGCAGAUACAAAGAGAAGCGACCUCGCGAGAGCAAGCGGAACUCAUAAAGUCUGUCGUAGUCCGGAUUGGAGUCUGCAACUCGACUCCAUGAAGUCGGAAUCGCUAGUAAUCGUAGAUCAGAAUGCUACGGUGAAUACGUUCCCGGGUCUUGUAACACACCGA
RNAcentral lists this ribosomal RNA (406 nucleotides) under Proteus penneri. RNAcentral's name for it is "bacterial SSU rRNA". It matches the Rfam family "Bacterial small subunit ribosomal RNA", at positions 987 to 1393 of the family's 1533-position model. Lineage: Bacteria; Pseudomonadati; Pseudomonadota; Gammaproteobacteria; Enterobacterales; Morganellaceae. The record is from RNAcentral.